AGUAAUACUUGGGUAAUCUACCCUUGAGUGGGAAACAACCUGCCGAAAGGCGGGCUAAUGUCCCAUAAGACCACAGGAGCGCAUGCUCCAGGGGUCAAAGCUCCGCAAGGGGCGCUUUUGGAGGAACCCGAGUCCUAUCAUGGUAGUUGGUGAGGUAACGGCUCACCAAGCCUUUGACGGGUAGCCGGCCUGAAAGGGUGAUCGGCCACACUGGCACUGAGACACGGGCCAG
Molecule: ribosomal RNA, 232 nt
Filed under: uncultured bacterium
Lineage: Bacteria
Description: partial 16S ribosomal RNA
Rfam family: Bacterial small subunit ribosomal RNA
Source: RNAcentral